Molecule: ribosomal RNA, 372 nt
Filed under: uncultured bacterium
Lineage: Bacteria
Description: bacterial SSU rRNA
Rfam family: Bacterial small subunit ribosomal RNA
Source: RNAcentral
GACGAACGCUGGCGGCGUGCUUAACACAUGCAAGUCGAGCGGUAAGGCCCUUUCGGGGGUACACGAGCGGCGAACGGGUGAGUAACACGUGGGUGACCUGCCCUCAGCUCUGGGAUAAGCCUGGGAAACCGGGUCUAAUACUGGAUAUGACUCCAUGACGCAUGUUGUGGGGUGGAAAGCCUUGUGCGGCUGAGGAUGGGCCCGCGGCCUAUCAGCUUGUUGGUGGGGUGANGGCCUACCAAGGCGACGACGGGUAGCCGGCCUGAGAGGGCGACCGGCCACACUGGGACUGAGACACGGCCCAGCUCCUACGGGAGGCAGCAGUGGGGAAUCUUGCGCAAUGGGCGAAAGCCUGACGCAGCGACGCCGCGU